GUGAGAUCAUUAAUGUAUACCCAAUACAUUGCAAGCAAAAUUUCAAUUUGUUCAGCCAUUAGGGAUUUUGAAUAAAAGAACAAGCUUUCUUCUUCAGUAAAAAUAGCCAUUUCAAUUGUUUUUCAAUAUAAUGCAUCCAUUAUCGUUUUUUCUUGAACUGAUGAACAAAUAACUUCCAUUGUCAACAUCUCCUAUAAAGAAUCCUAUUUUUUUUGCUCUAAUUCUUU
This 227-nucleotide unclassified non-coding RNA is filed under the name Hevea brasiliensis (rubber tree). Lineage: Eukaryota; Viridiplantae; Streptophyta; Magnoliopsida; Malpighiales; Euphorbiaceae. The record is from RNAcentral.